AUUGAACGCUGGCGGCAGGCCUAACACAUGCAAGUCGAGCGGAUGAAGGGAGCUUGCUCCUGGAUUCAGCGGCGGACGGGUGAGUAAUGCCUAUGAAUCGGCCUGGUAGUGGGGGAUAACGUCCGGAAACGGGCGCUAAUACCGCAUACGUCCUGUGGGAGAAGGUGGGGGAUCUUCGGACCUCACGCUAUCAGAUGAGCCUAGGUCGGAUUAGCUAGUUGGUGGGGUAAAGGCCUACCAAGGCGACGAUCCGUAACUGGUCUGAGAGGAUGAUCAGUCACACUGGAACUGAGACACGGUCCAGACUCCGACGGGAGGCCGCAGUGGGGACUAUUGGAAACUGGGCGAAAGCCUGCUCCAGCCAUGCCGCGUGUGUGAAGAAGGUCUUCGGAUUGUAAAGCACUUUACGUUGGGAGGACGGCCAGUAAGUUAAUACCUUGCUGUUUUGACGUUACCAACAGAAUAAGCACCGGCUAACUUCGUG
RNAcentral lists this ribosomal RNA (484 nucleotides) under uncultured bacterium. Its description in RNAcentral is "partial 16S ribosomal RNA". It matches the Rfam family "Bacterial small subunit ribosomal RNA", at positions 30 to 507 of the family's 1533-position model. The record is from RNAcentral.